Polypterus senegalus (gray bichir) is the source of this 1174-nucleotide long non-coding RNA. RefSeq lists it as uncharacterized. NCBI's taxonomy places the organism in Eukaryota, Metazoa, Chordata, Cladistia, Polypteriformes, Polypteridae. The record is from RefSeq and is a predicted model, not a curated record. The transcript has 3 exons.
CGCAGCCUCCAGGGUGUCCAGGGAUUAAUUCUGUGAUGGAGCUCGCUUUUCUGGAUUUCAAGGUAAAUCGUUACUUCACGGAUUGUGAACUGUCUCUGCAGCAAAAGCUUUCCCCUGACAACCUGACAGCCAAUUGGAGGCCUUCAACACAGACAGCGGGAUAGGAAUCUGCAAGAAAUGGAAGAGAAGGAUCCAGAAGACAUCAGUUUCCAAGCCACAAGCUCCUUCUACCUUGCCAACUAAACAGUCAGCUGCCAUCCCAGAAGUUGGCGUUCCACCAUGAGGAAAUAUUUAAAAACAGAUGCUCUUUGGAACAGGGACAACUGGUGCACUGGUGAAAGGAUCAUGAGUGCCCAAGGUUCAUUGAUUCAUGUGGGGAGUGAAGGAUAGCCUGUCUGGUCUGAUCCCACAGAAGAGCUACUAUAGCACAGACUGCAGAAAAACUUAAUGAUGGCUGUGACAUAAAGGUGUCAGAACACACAGUGUAUUACAACUAGCUGCGUAUGGGGUUGCACUGCCACAGACUGGUCAGUGAGCUCAUGCUGACCCCUGUCAACCACCGAAAGUGUCUACAAUGAGUAUCAGAACUGGACCAAGGAGCAAUGGAAUAAGGUUGACUGGUCUGAUGAAUCAUGUUUUCUUUAAGAUCAUGUGGAUGACCAGGUGUGUGUGUGUCGUUUACCUGAGGAAGAGACACAUUACGGAAAGAAGGCAAUGCAGCAGAUGCAGUGUGAUGCUCUUGCAAAAGUUCUGCUGGGAAACAUGGGUCCUGGCAUUCAUGUCAGUCUUACUCUGACAUGUACCACUUACCUAAAGACUGUUGCAGAGCAUGUAAACUCCUUCAUGGCAAUGGUACUACCUGAAGACAGUGGGCUAUUUCAGCAAGGUAAUGUGCCCUGACACACUGUGAAAACUGUUUAGGAAUGGUUUAAAGAAUAUGACACUAAGUUUAAGGUGAUGACUUGGCCUCCAAAUUCUGUAGAACUUAAUCUGAUCGAACAUCUGUGAACGUUCUGGGAAAUCAAGUCCGAUCAAUGGAGACCUUUCCUUUCAACUUACAAGACUUAAAGGAUCUACUGCUAACGUUUAGUGCCAGAUACCACAGGACAUCCUCAGAGGUCUUGUGGAGUCAGAACUGUCUUGGUGGCAUGAGGGGGACCUACACAAUAUUAGG